Musa acuminata subsp. malaccensis (wild Malaysian banana) is the source of this 285-nucleotide non-coding RNA. The record is from RefSeq and is a predicted model, not a curated record. Lineage: Eukaryota; Viridiplantae; Streptophyta; Magnoliopsida; Zingiberales; Musaceae.
GUAGCCCUCCUAGUAAUAAAUACGAUACACGUGCAUGCGGCAAGAGCCUCUGACCAGACUCCGUCUCUCUCUUCGACAUGCUGCUCUCCAUCGUUUGACCAAAGUCUCUUAUGUCACCAGUAGCAGAUGACGAAGAGAACAAAGACUGUUCGUGCAAAAACUUGUUGAAAGAUGAAGAUGAAAGCAAAAUAGAAGGAAGAUGGAUUCUCACAAACAAAAGUAUGUGGAUACAAAACAAACAGGUACAUUUACCAAAUAAAUACCAUUUCACUUUAUCUUACUUUC